UACGAAGGGUGCAAGCGUUACUACGGAAUUACUGGGCGUGAAAGCGUGCGUAGGUGGUUUCGUUAAGUCUGUUGUGAAAGCCCCGGGCUCAACCUGGGAAUGGCAAUGGAUACUGGCAGGCUAGAGUGCGGUAGAGGUAGUGGAAUUCCCGGUGUAGCGGUGAAAUGCGUAGAGAUCGGGAGGAACACCAGUGGCGAAGGCGGCUACCUGGACCAGCACUGACACUGGAGGCACGAAAG
This 239-nucleotide ribosomal RNA is filed under the name uncultured bacterium. Its description in RNAcentral is "partial 16S ribosomal RNA". It matches the Rfam family "Bacterial small subunit ribosomal RNA", at positions 524 to 759 of the family's 1533-position model. The record is from RNAcentral.